RNAcentral lists this ribosomal RNA (302 nucleotides) under Paracercion melanotum. RNAcentral's name for it is "partial 16S ribosomal RNA". The record is from RNAcentral. Lineage: Eukaryota; Metazoa; Arthropoda; Insecta; Odonata; Coenagrionidae.
UUAGUCUUUUAAUAGGAGGCUGGAAUGAAAGGUUUAACGAAAAAUUAGCUGUCUCAAUUAUAAAUUUGAAUUUAACUUUUAAGUUAAAAGGCUUAAAUUUUUUUGUAGGACGAGAAGACCCUAUAGAGCUUUACAUUUAAUAUUUUGUUAUAUUGAUUUAGAUUAAUAUUUUUAAUUAACUUUAAAAAAUGUUUUGUUGGGGUGACAAGAAAUAUAUAUUUAACUUUUAUUAUUAUAUUUUCAUUAAUUUAUGAUUAUUGGAUCCAAAAUUUUUGAUCAUUAGAAUAAGUUACCUUAGGGAU